AUUGAACGCUGGCGGCAGGCCUAACACAUGCAAGUCGAGCGGAGGAAGGGAGCUUGCUCCUGGAUUCAGCGGCGGACGGGUGAGUAAUGCCUAGGAAUCUGCCUGGUAGUGGGGGAUAACGUCCGGAAACGGGCGCUAAUACCGCAUACGUCCUGAGGGAGAAAGUGGGGGAUCUUCGGACCUCACGCUAUCUGAUGAGCCUAGGUCGGAUUAGCUAGUUGGUGGGGUAAAGGCCUACCAAGGCGACGAUCCGUAACUGGUCUGAGAGGAUGAUCAGUCACCCUGGAACUGGGACACGGUCCAGACUCCUACGGGAGGCAGCAGUGGGGAAUAUUGGACAAUGGGCGAAAGCCUGCUCCAGCCAUGCCGCGUGUGUGAAGAAGGUCUUCGGAUUGUAAAGCACUUUAAGUUGGGAGGAAGGGCAGUAAGUUAAUACCUUGCUGUUUUGACGUUACCAACAGAAUAAGCACCGGCUAACUUCGUG
This 484-nucleotide ribosomal RNA is filed under the name uncultured bacterium. RNAcentral's name for it is "partial 16S ribosomal RNA". It matches the Rfam family "Bacterial small subunit ribosomal RNA", at positions 30 to 507 of the family's 1533-position model. The record is from RNAcentral.